AAACAUGAUGACAAACUGUCGCCCCAGGCGGAUUUCUAAUAUGAACGAUUCGACUAUUAUAGCCAAACACUGAAAAUUCUGAUA
This 84-nucleotide small nucleolar RNA is filed under the name Eremothecium cymbalariae DBVPG#7215. Lineage: Eukaryota; Fungi; Ascomycota; Saccharomycetes; Saccharomycetales; Saccharomycetaceae. The record is from RNAcentral.